This 1120-nucleotide long non-coding RNA is filed under the name Salvia miltiorrhiza (redroot sage). Its description in RNAcentral is "long non-coding RNA (SMIL_LNC006527)". The record is from RNAcentral. Lineage: Eukaryota; Viridiplantae; Streptophyta; Magnoliopsida; Lamiales; Lamiaceae.
AAAAGAUAAAAACUUUGAGAAAAAAAUCAUCAUAAUUGAGUGUUGCUUUCAUACUGACCCCAGAAAAAGAAUCAAGAAGGCCCCUUUGCAGAAGAAAGCGGGAAAGGCAGGUGUAGAGAAGUGAAAGAGGGAAUCCCAGAAUCAAAGCGUAGUAGAAGGGGUCGUGGAUCCAUUGCUCGACGGAGGAGCCCAAGAGUCGGCCCGAACCCAUAAUUGAGCUCAACCACUCGCAGAAGGACCCUAUAUCCGGCCCGAAGAAGGCGUUGAUGGCGUACGUAACGCAGUGGUGAGGGCCGAAUCUCCCGUUCGAAACAUGCAUCAGCCCUUGGCCCGACCCGAUGGCGUAAAUCAUGUGCGGGCCCGGGCCCGGCAUGCUGCGGUGUGAAGCUUUUGGCAGAAUUUGCUGUUGGCUGAAUUUUGGUCUGUGGAAAACGUAAAGAAAAGUCUACCCGACUUUUAUUUCUUGGAGUUGGAGACUAGUAAAGUAGUAAUGAACUGAACUUAAUUCCUGUAUUAGUAGGUAUGCCAAUUAUUUAUAUUUAGAAAUUCAUUUAUUUGGCACUUGUGUGAUUUUUUUUUUUNAUGUAAGGAAAUUCCUAAUGAGAAAUCUCCCAAUAUUUGAAAGAAAAGAUAAAAACUUUGAGAAAAAAAUCAUCAUAAUUGAGUGUUGCUUUCAUACUGACCCCAGAAAAAGAAUCAAGAAGGCCCCUUUGCAGAAGAAAGCGGGAAAGGCAGGUGUAGAGAAGUGAAAGAGGGAAUCCCAGAAUCAAAGCGUAGUAGAAGGGGUCGUGGAUCCAUUGCUCGACGGAGGAGCCCAAGAGUCGGCCCGAACCCAUAAUUGAGCUCAACCACUCGCAGAAGGACCCUAUAUCCGGCCCGAAGAAGGCGUUGAUGGCGUACGUAACGCAGUGGUGAGGGCCGAAUCUCCCGUUCGAAACAUGCAUCAGCCCUUGGCCCGACCCGAUGGCGUAAAUCAUGUGCGGGCCCGGGCCCGGCAUGCUGCGGUGUGAAGCUUUUGGCAGAAUUUGCUGUUGGCUGAAUUUUGGUCUGUGGAAAACGUAAAGAAAAGUCUACCCGACUUUUAUUUCUUGGAGUUGGAGACUAGUAAAGUAGUAAUGAA